UUUAAUUGAAGAGUUUGAUCAUGGCUCAGAUUGAACGCUGGCGGCAGGCUUAACACAUGCAAGUCGAGCGGCAGCACAGAGGAACUUGUUCCUUGGGUGGCGAGCGGCGGACGGGUGAGUAAUGCCUGGGAAAUUGC
This 137-nucleotide ribosomal RNA is filed under the name Vibrio cholerae. RNAcentral describes it as "partial 16S ribosomal RNA". It matches the Rfam family "Bacterial small subunit ribosomal RNA", at positions 1 to 128 of the family's 1533-position model. Lineage: Bacteria; Pseudomonadati; Pseudomonadota; Gammaproteobacteria; Vibrionales; Vibrionaceae. The record is from RNAcentral.